Long non-coding RNA from Passer domesticus (house sparrow), 3047 nucleotides. RefSeq lists it as uncharacterized. NCBI's taxonomy places the organism in Eukaryota, Metazoa, Chordata, Aves, Passeriformes, Passeridae. The transcript has 2 exons. The record is from RefSeq and is a predicted model, not a curated record.
UCUACUCCUUUUCAAGCUUUGUAGUAUUUUCUUUUUAAACACCUUUCAGAUCAGAGAAAUUAUUUUCUGCUUUUACACUGGCUCUAGCAGAACAAAAUGUUUUAGCUGCUCCCUCAACAGCCACAUUAAUACAGGAAUUGUAUCCUCAGGUUUCAUUUCAUAAUCACUCUAAAAUAGCUAGAGAACACUUAUUUUAUAUUGUGCCUGUUCCUACGAACUGAAAUGGCACACCUCUUCUUCCACAGAGAGGUGGCUGUAGCAUGGAAGAUCUCAGGGGUGUUUUUUUGUAGAUUCUCUUAUAUUGCUCCGAUUUUCAGUUGGCAUUUGGGUGGCAUUAGUGGCUUGUUGAGGUCUCCGCCUGCAGUGACAUAAAGACUGCUGUCCAGAAAAGAAACAAAAGACUGGGCAAACUGUAAAGGGCAGAUAUUGGCUAUCUAAUGAAAAAAAUCUUUUUCUGGUACCAUGCAACAGCCUAGUCUGCACAGAGCAAAAGGAGGCUGUGAUACCUUGAGACUGAAUUUGACCUACUCUUACACAAGGAGUUUUGCACUGGGAGUUUUCCCUCUCUUCAGAAGGGCCACUGUUGCCUCUGAGGUCUUUACUGACAUGAUGUGCUUCUACUGCCCUGGAACAGGUCCUGUCUGCACCAUGGAAACAGCCUGCAAUUCAACUGGACCUUCACUGUAAGCUGACCAGCAAAGGUCCCUGAUCAGCAGCAAAGAGAGGGCACAAUAUUCUAAUAAUGAGUCCAAAGGAGAAAAAUGGGGAGAGAGUCCUUCAAGCUGCAGCAGCUCAGAGCUGAAUUUGGGGUUUUCAGAGGUUUCCAGUAGUGACUGUGGAUGCAAGGCAUCUUUAUGACAGUGUGCAGGCAAUGAUCCCAGGCACAACACCAGCAGCACCCCUGGAGAGGGCUCACACAGAAACUGGCAUGAUACUGGGAAGGUCUUUUCCUGGAAGAUCAUGAGUGCAAGUAGAUCAAACAAUCAUGGUUAGAGAAUAAAAUAGUAUGUGCUAGUGCAGGAGAUGAGGGUGAUUAUUUUUAGCUUUAGUUUCCACAGAGACUGUGCAUCAAAAGUAAUGAGAAAGGACUGGCAGGCACAGGAGGCUUUUUGUAUUCAGCUCCGUGAAGAGCAUCUCGAGAAUGAAGACAGACCAAGAAAUGAAUUUGAGAAAUGUUUUGCUAAAGUAAAAAAUCCAAAGGGCCUCUAUUUCCUUUUUGUCCUGGGGCCCUGAAAGCUCUUAAUUAAGGAAGCAAUUUAAUUUUGAACUUUACCGACUGUCUGGUUUAAUAUGUGGCCAGUGUGGGCACUUCAGAGCUUUCAACAUCUUCUUGCUGGAAGUAGAGCAGGACUGCUGCAAACUUGGAAGACCUCUACUUUCUUCUUCAAGAGACCAUGAACUUAUUUUUCCAUGAGCUGGGCAGUUACUUGUAUGGAUUUACAGCAAGUGCAAUAGGUCUCCAGGCUGGAGAGAUGGAGUUUUAGUGCCAUAUAUAAGUGCUGGUGCCCCAAAAUGGGCAGACAGGAUCGGUCCCUUCUGGAUUAAUCUCUUGAGCUACCAUUCACUUGCAACAACCUUCAUGACCUACAGCUAACAAAGCUGAAAGGACAGUGAUUCUUUCAUGCAAGAAGAGCCAGCAGAAUGAUUACAGCCAAGUUCUGGCUGGAGGCACCCUGGGGCUGGCUGCUGCUUUAUUUUGUUAAGAGGAUUCUUCACCCCUUUAUCCAUCAAGGUCCAGAUCAUUGGCCUCAGCCCAGGAGCCAUGUAUUGCUCUGGGUUGGGACAACACGCAGAAGAUUGUUCCAAACAAGUGGCUGGAACCUCCUGGCAUGGCCCCAGGUGCUAUCCUCUCUCCACUUCUGCAGAGGUGGCAGGAGAGGAGCCAUCAUAAAUAUUCUCAGCAGGGACCUUGUAGAGUCUCACAAUCGGGAGACACAAUGACAGUGCCUUAAAUCCCAUCAGUGUCUCAUGCAAGUGGCACAGAUAAAUCAACAACAGAGUCAGAUCAACUGUAGUAAUUGUCAAGCUCCUGCUUUAGAAACAGCCAUCCGUUGUGCUUUUCACAACAAAACAGCCUGCUUGUAGCACAUGCAUAUUUGUUCCUAUUUUUCUAAAUUCUUAGUAUAUCCUGACUCCAUUAGUCUUCAAAUGCUAUUUCUGACUUGUGUGUUAUGACACAAUUUCCUGCUUAUGACACACUAAGAGACAACAAUGUUUCAAAGAUCACCAGGAUUGUUUACAAGUGUGUCUGGGAAGAGAAGACUGAUCAAAAGGGAAACCUUUUUAUGUCUAGACAUCUCUGCAUGAAUAAACACAAUUAUGGUGAAAUGCACACCUGCACAAGGAGCAAACUCUGUAUGAUUGUAUUCGCACCGGGUGAAAUUAAUCUCCUUGUCUGAACUUGUCCACAGAUCUUUGCAUGGCUUUAACCUCUGUAAAUGCUAACAAGUAAAACAAGCUUGUUGGGCUGUUCUUAGCAUGAAGACAGAGCCUGGAAAAUCUUAAACUAUUAAGAAUACAAAUAAGAAUAAAUGAGUGACAUUAAGACAAAGCUUUCCAGUAUAAGAAUAGGAAUCAUAGCAAAAUUAAAAUACUUUUUUCAGUCAUAUUUUGUUGUCACAGUUAUUUGCCCUUAUGUUAAACCCUCCCACUCAUGCCAAAGCAGUAAAUCUGAGAAAACACCUAUAUUUUGAGUGCAAUGGAAAUUUUUUACUCACGUGGUAAAGUAAGGCCUUUCAUCAUUGAUGUUAAUUAUAUUUAUAUGCACUGUUCUAGUUGAGUUGAGUCCAUCUGGAUCUGUCACUGUUAUGUUUAAAAAGUAACUGUUAAAUAAGAAAAACAGAACAAGAAUCAUUCUGUAUAUGUCAGAAAACAUUUCUCUCAAUACUAUAAGAUAAUAGGCCAUGGGAAUAAAAUACAUUCUCACCAAUGUGGAUCUUUCUCAUAAUCAAAUUCUUUUGUGGAAAAAAUGUCUCCAUUUUCCUUGACUGAGAAUGGCACUGUUGCAGGGAGCAGUGAAUACUGAAAUAAAGAGAACAAGAAAUUAA